Molecule: long non-coding RNA, 202 nt
Organism: Lycium ferocissimum
Lineage: Eukaryota; Viridiplantae; Streptophyta; Magnoliopsida; Solanales; Solanaceae
Exons: 2
Source: RefSeq, a predicted model, not a curated record
AACUUCAUGCCCAAUCAAACACCCUCAUAUAAAAUGGGACGGAGGGAGUAGCUGCUUACCCAUCAUAGCCUAGUGCAGACUUCAAUACGAAAUGAAGACGUGAGGCAAUAAAGGAGAGACUACAACCAAAAAAUUUGGUGGAUAACUGGAUACUGAGAGGUACCUUCUUCAAUUUAUAUGGUCUUACUUUCCUUUUAAUCUA